This 339-nucleotide unclassified non-coding RNA is filed under the name soil metagenome. RNAcentral's name for it is "partial contains 5.8S ribosomal RNA, internal transcribed spacer 2, and large subunit ribosomal RNA". The stretch from base 1 to 120 matches the Rfam family "5.8S ribosomal RNA", at positions 35 to 154 of the family's 154-position model. The record is from RNAcentral.
GAUGAAGAACGUAGCGAAACGCGAUAGUUAAUGUGAAUUGCAGAAUUCAGUGAAUCAUCGAGUCUUUGAACGCACAUUGCGCCCAUUGGUAUUCCGUUGGGCAUGUCUGUUUGAGCGUCAUUACAACAGUUCAGCGUAAGCUGGUUAUGAGUUCUGUUUUUUUAAACAAAAAACAGGCUUUAAAAUGUAUGUUCUGCAGGUCGCUUUGCUAAACCCUAAACAUUAAAUACUGUUCUAGUGAAGCAUUUGCGACUCUGCCUGAAAAAAAACUUUUGUUAAAGUUUGACCUCAGAUCAGACAAGGAUACCCGCUGAACUUAAGCAUAUCAAUAAGCGGGGA